CCUACGGAGGCAGCAGUGGGGAAUAUUGGACAAUGGGCGAAAGCCUGAUCCGGCCAUGCCGCGUGUGUGAAGAAGGCCUUCGGGUUGUAAAGCACUUUCAGUGGGGAAGAAAGCCUUGGGGCUAAUACCCUCGAGGAAGGACAUCACCCACAGAAGAAGCACCGGCUAACUCCGUGCCAGCAGCCGCGGUAAUACGGAGGGUGCGAGCGUUAAUCGGAAUUACUGGGCGUAAAGCGCGCGUAGGCGGUCUGAUAAGCCGGUUGUGAAAGCCCCGGGCUCAACCUGGGAACGGCAUCCGGAACUGUCAGGCUAGAGUGCAGGAGAGGAAGGUAGAAUUCCCGGUGUAGCGGUGAAAUGCGUAGAGAUCGGGAGGAAUACCAGUGGCGAAGGCGGCCUUCUGGACUGACACUGACGCUGAGGUGCGAAAGCGUGGGUAGCAAACAGGAUUAGAUACCCCAGUAGUC
Molecule: ribosomal RNA, 464 nt
Filed under: Vreelandella stevensii
Lineage: Bacteria; Pseudomonadati; Pseudomonadota; Gammaproteobacteria; Oceanospirillales; Halomonadaceae
Description: partial 16S ribosomal RNA
Rfam family: Bacterial small subunit ribosomal RNA
Source: RNAcentral